GGGUUCCCUUUUCACCAUAUCCUUACCAGCACCACUUGUCCUUUGUCUUCUUGAUGAUACCCAUUCUAACAGGUGUAAGGUGGUAUCUCAUUAUGGGUUUUAUUUGCAGUGCCCCUGAUAAUUUGUGAUGUUGAGCAUUGUCUCAUGGCCUGUUGGCCAUUUUCAUGUUCUCUUUGGAAAAAAUGUCUGUUUGGUUCUGCCAGUUUUUAAAUCAGAUUGCUUUUUUUGUUAUUAAAUUGUAUAAUUCUUUAAAUAUUUCAGAUAUUAAACCCUUGUCUGAUACAUGGGUACGCAAAAAUUUUAUCCCAUUUAUAGGCUGUCUUCAUUUUAAAUUCUUCUGCUGUGCAGAAGCUUUUGAGUUUGAUGAAGUCCCAUUUCUUGAUCUUUAGCUUUUGUUCAGUGCCUCUGUGUCCUUACUUAUUUUCUGUCUGGUGGAUCUGUCCUUUGGAGUGAGUGGUGUGUUAAAGUCUCCCAAAAUGAAUGCAUUGCAUUCUAUUUCCUCCUUUAAUUCUGUUAGUAUUUGUUUCACAUAUAUUGGUGCUCCUGUAUUGGGUAUAUAUAUGUUUAUAAUGGUUCUAUCCUCUUGUUGGACUGAGCCCUUUAUCAUUAUUGAAUGUCCUUCUUUAUCUCUUGUUACUUUCUUUGUUUUGAAGUCUAUUUUGUCUGAUACUAGUAUUGCAACACCUGCUUUUUUCUCCCUAUUGUUUGCAUGAAAUACCUUUUUCCGUCCCUUGAUUUUUAAUCUGUGCAUGUCUUUGGGUUUGAGGUGAGUUUCUUGUAAGCAGCAUAUAGAUGGGUCUUGCUUUUAUAUCCAUUCUAUUACUCUGUGUCUUUUGAUUGGUGCAUUCAGUCCAUUUACAUUUAGGGUGAUUAUUGAAAGAUAUGUACUUAUUGCCAUUGCAGGCUUUAGAUUCAUGGUUACCAAAGGUUCAAGGUUAGCUUCUUUACUACCUUACUGUCUAACUUAACUCACUUAUUGAGCUAUUAUAAACGCAGCCUGAUGAUUAUUUCUCUCCCUUUUUAUUCCUCCUCCUCCAUUCUUCAUAUGUUGGGUGUUUUCUUCUGUGCUCUUUUUAGGAGUGCUCCCAUCUACAGCAGUCCCUCUAAAAUACCCUGUAGAGGUGGUUUGUGGGAGGCAAAUUCCCUCAACUUUUGCUUGUCUGGGAAUUGUUUAAUCCCUCCUUCAUAUUUAAAUGAUAAUCAUGCUGGAUACAGUAUCCUUGGUUCAAGGCCCUUCUGUUUCAUUGCAUUAAAUAUAUCAUGCCAUUCUCUUCUGGCCUGUAAGGUUUCUUUUGAGAAGUCUGAUGAUAGCCUGAUGGGUUUUCCUUCGUAAGUGACCUUUUCUCUCUCUCUGGCUGCCUUUAAUACUCUGUUCUUGUCCUUAAUCUUUGUCAUUUUAAUUAUUAUGUGUCUUGGUGUUGUCCUCUUUGGGUCCUUCCUGUUGGGAGUUCUGUGUACUUCCAUAGCUUGAGCAACUAUUUCCUCCCCAGGUUUGGGAAAGUUUUCAGCAAUUAUUUCUUCAAAGACACUUUCUAUCCCUUUUUCUCUCUCUUCUUCUUCUGGUACCCCUAUAAUCUGGAUAUUAUUCCUUUUGGAUUGGUCACAUAGUUCUCUUAAUAGUUUCUUUCCUGGAGAUCCUUUUAUCUCUCUCUGCGUCAGCUUCUAUGCAUUCCUGUUCUCUGGUUUCUAUUCCAUCAAUGGCCUCUUGCAUCUUAUCCAUUCUGCUUAUAAAUCUUUCCAGAGUUUGUUUCACUUCUGUAAUGUCCCUCCGGAUGUCUGUAAUCUCCCUCCAGACUUCAUCCCUUAGCUCUUGCAUAUUUCUCUGCAGCUCUGUCAGCAUGUUUAUGAUUUUUAUUUUGAAUUCUUUUUCAGGGAGACUAGUUAGGUCUAUCUCCUUCUCAGGUGUUGUCUCUGUGAUUUUUGUCUGUCUCAGAUUUUGCCCUUUCAUGGCGAUAGAGAUAGUUUGCAGAGCUGGGGCGAGUGAUGGCUGGGAGAACGUCCCUUCUUGUUGGUUUGUGGCCUUCCUCUCCUAGGAGAACAGCAAACUCUAGCGGCUUGUGAUGGGCAGCUGCAUGCAGACGGGGCCUGUCCUUUUAAGACUUUCAAAAAGUACUCGCUUGUUCCUGGGGCGCCGGCCGCAGGGACCCGCUCACUGGUCUUACUGUCCUGUUUCCCUAGUUUCCAGCACCCCAUGCACGCACUGUGUCUGUGCUCUGGUGCUGAUGGCCAGGGCUGGGUGUUUAGCAGUCCUGGGCUCCCUCUCCCUCCCCGCUCUGACUCCUCUCCUCCUGCCAAGAGCUGGGGUGAGGGGUGCUCGGGUCCCACCGGGCCGGGGCUUGUAUGUUACCUGCUUUGCAAGGCGCUGGGUUCUCGCAGGUGUGGAUGUAGCCUGGCUAUUGUCCUGUGUCUUCUGGUCUGUCUUUGAGGGAGAGUUGUAUUUGUUGUAAUUUCAAAAAUAUAUGUGGUUUUGGGAGGAGAUUUCCGCUGCUCUACUCAUGCCACCAUCUUGGCUCCGCCAGUGUGCACGCUUUUUUAAAGGAUGGUUGCAGUGCUCCCUUUGCGUUCUUGCCUCCGGCGUCCUUCAGUAGCUCCUGGGAGCUGUCCAGCAACCUCAGUCCUGGGUUUGCAAGGCUUGGUGCAGAGAUGAAGCCACAAAACUGCAAAUAGUAAUAGAAAUGGAGCCUGGAAUAGAAGCGCCAAUCUUCCAAGGCCCUCUCAACUGACCUUUAUGGGCCCCCUCUCAGCAUGAAGCAGCCAGAGCGGUCGUCACCCCCUUUCCCUAGCAGCAGCUAGGGUCUCUAUCUGUAGAGGGGGGAAUGAGACAGGGACCUUGAGCUUAGACAGAACAGGGUGAGGGCCUCCAGAAAAGGCAAGGCAGGAUAUUUGCAGUCAGAGCAAUGUAACUGCAUGCAAGGAAACCCCCUACCAAAACUCUGUGUUAAACAUUCAGCUCUAGAGUCAUUCUUCAGUGAGAUCAGUUAAAGCUUAAAAGGCCAGGAGCAACUUGGCCUGGAAUGUUUGAGUGUUCUGCAAAUGAAGAAGGGUAUCUCAGCACAACCUGUGACUUGACUGCAAACAGCCCUGGCAAACAGACAGCAACCCAGUCCACCCUAGGGGCAGGGCAGGUGGUGCAAGUCCACACCCUAAGCCCUUUCUUCAGGUUAUUAAGGUAUGUGUGGCAUGGGAUGCAUCCUUCCUGCUCUAAUAGAUUAUCCUGGAAAUAGUCGUGAAAGAUUUCUCCGAGCUCUGCCAUCUGAUUGUGAUGACAACUUGAGGCUUUUGUUGCAGUUGCAGCUGCAUUCAUCCUGCUGGCUCAUGGGCUUCUCGGUGGAAUGCAAAAGAAACUGUCUAAGCUGGCCUGUGCAUACAGCAAGACAAUGAAUUUGACUGCUUCCGUAUUAUCUGAACUCAGUCAAGAGCUAGAAGUGUGAGUUGCAGUGCUUCAGAAUCGUGCUACUAUGACUCUCUGCUGUUAAAAGGACAUACGGGGUGUGAACAAUUUGCAGGAAUGUGCUGUUUUAAUUUGUCAGACUUCUCUCAAACCAUUCAGAAUCAACUAGACAAUAUUCAUAAUAUUAGUAAUCAGUUUUCACAAAUGCCUGGGUUACUUAACUGGUUUUCUUGGUUUCAUUGGAUAUGGCCCUUAAUUGUGGGUCUGCUUUUGUUAUGUAUCUGUAUUCCUGUUCUGUUAAUGUGUGUAUGUAAUUUAAUUGAUAGUUUGUUAAAACCCAUGCAGGUUUAUGCUACUCUACAAGAAGUUAUGUCAUAGAAAUAAUCU
Manis pentadactyla (Chinese pangolin) is the source of this 3778-nucleotide long non-coding RNA. RefSeq lists it as uncharacterized. The transcript is spliced from 3 exons. The record is from RefSeq and is a predicted model, not a curated record. Lineage: Eukaryota; Metazoa; Chordata; Mammalia; Pholidota; Manidae.